GAUAUUGUAACAUUACACAAUCCUCUUCUUGUCCCAAUUAAUUAAAAUUUUUAUUUAUUUAUUAUUCAUUGGUUUCCAGCAUAGCAUGUUACCUUUUGAUUUCCACCAAAUAACAUGUUGGUUUCCAGCACAAAAGCAUGUUACUUUACUUUACAGCAAAGGUCCAUCAUCUUCUCACUUUAUCUUUAAAGUUGUUUAUUAUUUUCAUUAAUUUCUUAUAUUAAACCACCCCCUCUUCAUCCACCAGUUUUCAGAAAGUAAUAUCACACAACAAUCCUAAUCACUUAAUUUCUAAGAAGCUCCAUAAAAUUGGCUCAAGGGAUCAAGCUUAGUUCCUCCUUGCGAUCUAAAGUCCUUUAAACGUUUGAGGUUAUAGCGCUCAGGUUCGCGGUCAGGCAUCUCAUUAGGAUCUCUAUCUUCUGCUAUUGGUGAGCCUCCUUCCCACCUGGAGGUCGGACGAGAUAUGAUGAUUAUUAUAUAUUUUCUUUCAUUUCAGUAUUGGUACUUCAUAGAGGCUUCACAGGCUGGUGUAGUUGUCAAAUAACCUUUGUAAUUUUCAGUUUUCAUUUAUCAUAACUAUUGGUAUUGUGGACCAUUAUGCGGUAUUAAUUAUAUUGGGUGAAGUUUUAUCUCUUCAGAAAAUCAUGAUUUAACUCUAUGUUACUUCCGCUUUAUCAUUUUAAAAUAGAAGUUGCUGGGAAGAUAUACCAGAACGUUCGCCCGUACUAGCUAUAGUAUCGGGUGCGUGUCAUGUCUCGGGCCUCGGCUCGGGGCGUGACAAAAACACUCAAUUCAGGUGUUGAAUCAAAAGAUGAAUAACUUAGAUGAAAAGUUAAAAGGUAGUAAAAUGGGAGGCCUUGAACAUUACUUGGUAAAAGAUCGCCGCAUUUGAAGACCUAGAAAGCGAUUUUGAUAGUUAAGCACGGAAUUCUUGAACAUAAAAUGUAAUUGAAUCAAGUGAAUAAUAUAUAUCAUAGGGGUGUAAGUGUAGACUUUUCAUAAUGUAAAGCGAUAUUGUUUUAUUUCAUGCCAGUUUAUGAUUAUUUUCUUCUUCUUAGUGGUUUGAUUUUGAUUAUUGUAAGAGGGAAGACCUCUUUGUUUUUCCAAUUUGCAAUCAACUCUGCAACUGCAAAUGACUGUAAUGUCGUCUUCAUUUGCAACCAUCAUAAGUUGGUGAACAAACCCCUUAUCUUACUCUGGGUGCUUACUUCAUUUCUAGCCAAUCCCUCUCCACCGAAACCAAUAUUUGUCUACUGUGUGUCGGCAUCAUUUUUGUGUCUGAAUGUUUUUCAGAAACUGCAAAGGAGAGAUACAAUAAUACUUGAGGAAGGGAUUUGGCGAUAGUUCAUGUAGCAAACUUUCCUUGAAUAUUAGUCAUUUGAUGCACCUUUUCUAGUAUUCUCGCUUACUGGUUUUGAAAUCAACAUAUCUUCCUUAGUGAAAAGGGGUCAUGUUGGCUUCUACUAUCUACACAGUCAAAGGUAUAGAGUAAUAACAAGCACAUAUUAUCGAGGUACAGUUGAUGCGAUGCUAGUUUAUGACUUAACAAAAUGCCAAUCAUUUGAUCAUAUGCCUAGAUGGCUGGAGGAACUAAGAGGUCACACAGACAAGAACAUAUACACUUAUAAUGCUCAUUACGAACAAAUGUGAUCUAGGAAGUCGUCGAGCUCUACCAGUUGAAGAUGCUCAAGCAUUUGCAGAAAGGGAGAAUCUUUUCUUUAUGGAAGCAUCAGCCCUUCAAUCCACAAACGUAGAGUGCAUCCAUGACCAUUUUAACAGAAAUUUAUAAAAUCAUUAGCAAGAAUACCCUCACUGCAAACCAGAGAGCUGAUAAUGGAAAGACAAUCUUGAAAGGGAACGAGGAUCAUUGUUCCCUGACCAGAUUCGGAUUCUGAUGGCAAUAGUGGUGGUUGUUGUAUGUCGCUGUGAUUUUUUAUUGAACUCUGGAUGUCUUUUUAUUUAUCCAAAAUAAUAAUAUAACUAGAAAUGAUUUAUAUUUUAUGUAGAACAGGGAGUUGUUGUUGAGGAUGAAGUUGAUUUAGAUAGUUUGUUUAGCUUUGUGUGUAUAUAGUUCAUUAAGGUUGCUCACUGGGCAUCAGGGGUGGUGCCACAAGUCUGUCUACGGGUUCUUCCAUGUAUUUGUGCUUAAGAAUUUCACUUAAUAUGUAUAAACAAUUUAUCGUGAA
This is a long non-coding RNA of Capsicum annuum, 2186 nucleotides long. RefSeq lists it as uncharacterized. Lineage: Eukaryota; Viridiplantae; Streptophyta; Magnoliopsida; Solanales; Solanaceae. The transcript is spliced from 3 exons. The record is from RefSeq and is a predicted model, not a curated record.